UAAUUUGCAAUUUUCUUCCGGUAGCGGUUAUGAAACAUCGCGAAGUUUCUUGAUCGUUAGCUUGAAUGUAAACGUGGAAAAUGUGAGUGUUUUAUUGACGAAGAUAAUUAAGACUGGAUGAAGGCGAAAUCGUAAUAAUGAAAUUAUUGCAUUGUGCAAUAAAAAUUAAACCUACGAGCGACCUGACCGUCGUUAGAGAGUUUUCGCAGAAAAACAAUGGAAGGUUAAUUAGAAGAGAUGCAACCAGGCUGAUGAACUCCAUUGAACUUUGGUCCUGAGAGUUUGUUGGCUCAAUUUAACGCGAAAGGGGCGAGUUUGGAGAAGUUGUGCGUCUUUCCUUUUGAAAGGAAAACGUGCACAGCCAUCCCGUUCCCACCCUUCUUCAAAUCGCGGAACUACAAUAGGAGAAACGUUUAUUCUUGGCUCUGUUCUCCAACGAAUGAUUUAAUCCCUUCGGCUGUAACGAUUCUGUUCUUCAAACCUUAUCCUUUGUGCCUUGAAUCGGGGUCAGAUUUAGAACUCUAUGUAUAUGUAUAUAUGUGUAUGUAUGCGCGCGUGUGUAACGUUAUACAUUCCAUAAUUAAUGAAUUUUUUAAUUAAAUUUUCAGUUUAUUCGUCUAUAUUCUGUCGUUCAUUUUAAAAUGCGACAUCGAUUUUUCUGAAUAGAAAAGGAUGUUUCUGUAAAAAAAAGAAGGAAACACGAAAUUUCUUUGGAAGUAAUUGUUUGUCAUAAUUUGGCAUAGUUCUAAUGCAUUGAAUCUAAAGGAAUUUUUACAGAUUUAAUAAGGAACGGAUUUUCUUCAAUAAAGUUAUUAAUUAUAAACUUCAUUUGUAAACAUCACCAAAAAAUCUAAAAUCCUUUAGCCACUUACAAUAUCUUCUGUUUCAUUUCUAGAGUUAAAUAAAUUAAGUACGAAAAAUUCAUAAAUUAACUACAGCACUCAGUAUUCAAUUUUUAAAUAGUACUCAA
Molecule: long non-coding RNA, 970 nt
Organism: Bombus pascuorum
Lineage: Eukaryota; Metazoa; Arthropoda; Insecta; Hymenoptera; Apidae
Exons: 2
Source: RefSeq, a predicted model, not a curated record